CUAACAAUUUGUAUUGGUUGUUAAUCAAUCAACGAAACCGAAUUAAGAGCAAGAAGACCAAAAAAGGAACAAAUAAAAAUGGAUCAAAGGUAAUCACAUUUCACCAUUGAUUCAAUUUAAUGUGAAUUAUGUUUACAGUCAAACCAAAUAUUGUCUGUCGUAUUGAUUUUCAUCCAUUCAUUUAACUCAAUUGAAAUCAGUACCAAUCAUAUUAUUACCAGACACACAUUAGUGCAAAUGUAAUUUUGAAAAUGUCAACCCAGAGAUUGAUUAACCAGUUUACCAACAUCAUGGAUACCCAAUAUUUGUAACAUCAAGUAAGUACAAUAACCUUAACUUGACCAAUAUUUACCAAUAUCACAAUUUAAUUUAAAUUUGACCUUAAAAGAAAUGUUUUUUUCUCUAUUUGCCUAUUUCAUCAGAUCGUAAAUGCAAGCUUUCAAUAUAAAUGGCGAAUAUCUCUCGAUUGUAUGGGAAUUGAUGUCAUUAAUUUCAAAGAUGGAACGCAAAGACCCAGAAGGAUCGUAAAUGUGUGUAAAAUGUUGCUAUUGUAACCUGCAAAAUUGAAAUGCAAUUCAAAGACAAACAAUUUGUUAUUCUGCAGAUAAGUGAACCUGAAAUAGAUCAAGAUUCAUCUUAAUGAAUUUGAAUUUGUGUUCCAACCGAUGAGCAGCAAAGAAAAGAUAGUGAUACGAAAAAAAAGCAAAGCAAAGCCUAACCUACUUAGCAGAAGAUGAAGAAAAGGAAACAUCUCAUGUUGACUCAUUUUCUCUGGUGAACUGGAAAUCCAAUGUUUGAAUAACCAUGUAAAAGGAGAUGUUUUCAUUGGAAUAAGGUUUAUCUUUGUCAAUGUGUUUGUUUUUGUGUCUUCUUUCAGUGGUGUUAACACCGUUCAGGAAGCUUAACUGUGUACAUUCAAACAUACAGAAGGCAAUAAUAUUAAAAGAUGAAACUUGAUUUAAUCAUUCUUAAUUGAAAUUGCCUGUUGGAUUGAAGGAGAAUCAC
Molecule: small RNA, 1005 nt
Filed under: Tetranychus urticae (two-spotted spider mite)
Lineage: Eukaryota; Metazoa; Arthropoda; Arachnida; Trombidiformes; Tetranychidae
Description: sRNA tetur06g06783
Source: RNAcentral